GCACAGGGGAUUUGAGUUUUGUUUCAGAAAAACUGUAUCUGCAGACAAGAUGGUGAAGAGAAACUGAAAUUUACUGUUUGAUUCCAGGAAACCCUAAAUUGAUUAAUUUUCUCGUUGAUGUCAAAUUGGUAUUCUUCCAUGCACUGGUUUUAAAGAAAAUAUUCAAGAAACUGUUGUCUAAGUUACAUUGGUAUUCAUAGGAAAUUGUUGUUU
This 213-nucleotide unclassified non-coding RNA is filed under the name Hevea brasiliensis (rubber tree). Lineage: Eukaryota; Viridiplantae; Streptophyta; Magnoliopsida; Malpighiales; Euphorbiaceae. The record is from RNAcentral.